CCUACGGGAGGCUGCAGUGAGGAAUAUUGGUCAAUGGGCGAGAGCCUGAACCAGCCAAGUCGCGUGAGGGAGUACUGCCCUAUGGGUUUUAAACCCUUUUUGUCGGGGAGCAAAAGCCGGACGUGUCCGGCUGUGAGAGUACCCGAAGCAAAAGCAUCGGCUAACUCCGUGCCAGCAGCCGCGGUAAUACGGAGGAUGCGAGCGUUAUCGGGAUUUGUUGGGUUUAAAGGGUGCGCAGGAGGAUUUUUAAGUCAGCGGACAAAUCGUGGGGCUCAAACCCAUCCAGCCGUUGAAACUGGGGAUCUAGAGUGUGCGAGAGGUAUGCGGAAUGCGUGGUGUAGCGGUGAAAUGCAUAGAUAUCACGCAGAACCCCGAUUGCGAAGGCAGCAUACCGGUGCACAACUGACGCUCAGGCACGAAAGCGUGGGUAUCGAACAGGAUUAGAUACCCGAGUAGUC
Molecule: ribosomal RNA, 458 nt
Filed under: uncultured bacterium
Lineage: Bacteria
Description: partial 16S ribosomal RNA
Rfam family: Bacterial small subunit ribosomal RNA
Source: RNAcentral